This 572-nucleotide long non-coding RNA is filed under the name Mytilus galloprovincialis (Mediterranean mussel). Lineage: Eukaryota; Metazoa; Mollusca; Bivalvia; Mytilida; Mytilidae. The record is from RNAcentral.
AUUUAAUCUAUCUAUAUUUAUAUACGAGGUUUUGAUGGAGUUUAUAAUAAUAGGCAUCAAUAAAAAAAAAGAGAAUAAUGGACAAAUUAAUAAAUGAAUAAAGAAUAAAGAAAGAUUAAAAAAAUAUAAAGAAUAAAUGUUGUCUGCUAAUCUGUAUGGAAUAGAGAAAUAUACGGCUGUUAAACUAUGAGGAAUAAAGAACUAUGGGCUGUAAUAUUAUAUAAAAAAGAAUACAAACGAAUAUAAAUAGUAUGCUGUAAGAUUUCUCUUUACUUAUCCUUUUAGUUGUUGUGCACGUGAAGGAAUUAUGACUGUGCAGAGAAACCAGAACCGGUUUGAACCGGUUAAAAUAAGCAGAUACUGGCUCUGAAGGUGGGCGGCUCUUAGUUUACGGUCCAAUCAAACAAUUUUGAUCUCUAUAUAUUCCUCUACAUAAAACUGGUUUGAAGAUAACAAAAUGCUUAAGGAAGAGAGAUAGGUCAGGACGAGUACAGAAACGAUAAAAGUUGUAUUGAUAAAUUUUUUCAACCGUAUAGAAGCUAAAUUCGUCGACUGUACUAAUAUAUUUAUCC